This 791-nucleotide ribosomal RNA is filed under the name Cantharellus ferruginascens. RNAcentral describes it as "eukaryotic LSU rRNA". It matches the Rfam family "Eukaryotic large subunit ribosomal RNA", at positions 103 to 914 of the family's 3401-position model. Lineage: Eukaryota; Fungi; Basidiomycota; Agaricomycetes; Cantharellales; Hydnaceae. The record is from RNAcentral.
AAGAGCUCAUCAUUGGAAUCUGGCGGUGUUGCACCGUCCGAGUUGUAGAUGAGGAGUGGUUCGUCUGGACUGCAUGGCGUCCAAGUACAAUAGGCCGUCAGUGGGACAUCAUAGAGGGUGACAAUCCCGUCCUUGAUGCCAAUGUGCAAGUCCAUUACGAUGACCAUCUCAGAGAGUCGAGCAGUUUGGGAUUUGCUGCUUAAACAUGGGAGGUAGAUUCCUUCUAAAGCUAAAUACAGGCAAGAGACCGAUAGAGAACAAGUACCGCAAGGGAAAGAUGAAAUAGCACUCUGUGAAGGGAGUCAAAAGGCGUGAAAUUGUUGCGAGAGAAGCGAUUCAAGUCAGCGUAGCUAGGCCCAUUAAGCCUCUUUGCGCUUUGGACUAGCUUUGCCAGCGGUCUUGUCCUUAGAGACUUGACUUGUAUGUCCAGCCUGGUAUGCACAGGUAGCCCUCCGGGGUCAGUGACAUGGCUGGUGGAAUGGCUUGCAAUCGACCCGUCUUGAAACACGGACCAAGGAGUCUAACAUGUAUGCGAGUAUAAGGGUGGCAAACCCGUAUGCGCAAUGAAAGUGAUUUUCGGUGAUUGAGAAUGGCCUGAUGACCAGACAAGCAAUAUAUGUCCCUCGUACGGCCAUUGCCCAAGUUCCGUGGUAGAUCCCACGAACAUGGAGUUGGAGCAUACAUGCUAGGACCCGAAAGAUGGUGAACUAUGCCUGGACAAAGCGAAGCCAAAGGAAACUCUGGUGGAGGCUUGUAGCGAUUCUGACGUGCAAAUCGAUCGUCUGAUCUGG